AGAGUUUGAUCCUGGCUCAGAUUGAACGUUGGCGGCAUGCUUUACACAUGCAAGUCGAACGGUAACAGGCCGCAAGGUGCUGACGAGUGGCGAACGGGUGAGUAAUGUAUCGGAACGUGCCCAGUCGUGGGGGAUAACGCAGCGAAAGCUGCGCUAAUACCGCAUACGAUCUAUGGAUGAAAGCGGGGGACCGUAAGGCCUCGCGCGAUUGGAGCGGCCGAUAUCAGAUUAGGUAGUUGGUGGGGUAAAGGCUCACCAAGCCAACGAUCUGUAGCUGGUCUGAGAGGACGACCAGCCACACUGGGACUGAGACACGGCCCAGACUCCUACGGGAGGCAGCAGUGGGGAAUUUUGGACAAUGGGCGCAAGCCUGAUCCAGCAAUGCCGCGUGCAGGAAGAAGGCCUUCGGGUUGUAAACUGCUUUUGUACGGAACGAAACGGUCCUGGUUAAUACCUGGGGCUAAUGACGGUACCGUAAGAAUAGCC
RNAcentral lists this ribosomal RNA (486 nucleotides) under uncultured Hydrogenophaga sp. Its description in RNAcentral is "bacterial SSU rRNA". It matches the Rfam family "Bacterial small subunit ribosomal RNA", at positions 8 to 492 of the family's 1533-position model. Lineage: Bacteria; Pseudomonadati; Pseudomonadota; Betaproteobacteria; Burkholderiales; Comamonadaceae. The record is from RNAcentral.